Molecule: small RNA, 1062 nt
Filed under: uncultured Eimeria
Lineage: Eukaryota; Apicomplexa; Conoidasida; Eucoccidiorida; Eimeriidae
Description: eukaryotic LSU rRNA
Rfam family: 5.8S ribosomal RNA (bases 455-609)
Source: RNAcentral
GGAUGCAAAAGUCGUAACACGGUUUCCGUAGGUGAACCUGCGGAAGGAUCAUUCACACAUUAUGCGCGUCUCGCGGGCUGGGGUUUAUUUCCUGUCCUCGUCUCGCUUUUGCGAUUCGUGGGAGGAAGGAAGCGUCGGUACCGUCGGGAUUGGCUGCUUCUGAACCAUUGUUAUCCAAUCUUUGAAUCCAUAGUUAUUUCUCCACGACGUUAUUUUUAAAAAGAAGGCUUUUUAAAGUUGUUUUGCCUGCAUUUCAACUCGAUUUGCAGGUGUGUGGGAUGAGUAUGCUUGUUGGGGGGGGUCUGUCGGUGGUGGGGCUUUGGGGCUGCAUGCAUGUGCAUGCGUGCAUGCGGCUGCAGCCCUAAGCUCUGCACACCGUGGUGUGUUAUUACCGGCAUUCCGAUUCUCUCUUGCAUAUUUUUCUCACUGUUUUUUCGUUUGUUUAAAGAAAAAAAACUUUCAGCAAUGGAUGUCUUGGCUCACGCAUCGAUGAAGGACGCAGCUAGAUGCGAUACGCAUUGUGAAUUGCAGAUUUUAGUGAACCAUCAGAUUUCUGAACGCAUAUGGCGCUUCUGGGAUUUUCCCCGUAGCACGUCUGUUUCAGUGUCUCUUGACCCCUUCAAAAAAUACACUGCCAUAAAAGCAUAAAACAAGGCCUCAUGUGUCUAGGGUUUUUUGCUUUUAUGGUGGUAUCGUUUGCGUGUCGCAGCAAAAUAGAUUUGCAUGCGUCAUGUGAAGUUGUUUGUGGAUAUACUAUUAUUCACGUAUAAGAGCGGCACCUCGCUUAACUCUAUCCUUUCGUUUACGAAAGAGAUACGGUGGUGUGUAACAACUCCUUUGGGGUUGUGUAUGCUACUAUCUCGAACAAAAGUGAACGGAGGGCAGCAGGUUUUCCUGUUGUGAGUUGUGGUGCGUUGCUUUUUAUGUGGGUAGUAUUCGUAUAUCCUGUUCCUUCCAUCAAACGAGAUGAGUGAUGAUGGUUUUGGAUAAAUAUUUAUUUGUUUUAGACCUGAAAUCAGUCGAGAUUACCCGCUGAAUUUAAGCAUAUUAUUAAGCGGAGGA